GAUGUGAUACAGAAGCAGAAGCUGAAUGACAGCUGAUUUUUCUGCAGGUUUUCUGCAGCGCUCAUGCAAAUGGUGUACGGCUGUUCAGCAAAAUAAGACGACUUUUUCACGUUCCUUUGGCUUUUACCCAUGACCAUUUUUUUUCUGCUUGUUGGCAGAACGAUGGAUCAGAAAUGCAGACUGGACUAUCUCACUGGCUGAUUCAUUGGCCGAACGGUGACAUUUCAAACCCACAAGCUCGUCUGGAUGUUAAUUGUCAGGGGGACUAAAGCUUGUUGGAAUACGGGCUGUCUCUUUCCAUAUUAUAUGCACUUUAUGUAGUUGAGUCUUGCAGUAUCUCUAUAAUUCACUCUUCUGCCAUGAGGUGGGAUGGUGCAACGUCCUGUUCUUCAGAUGAACCGAGAGUGCUGCCCAGAUGGUGAAUGAGACAAGGGAUUCACUGCUUCUGACUGAUAAGAAUCCUGGGCAACAGUUAGCAGGCCAGUAUUUUCUGAGAAAGAAUUUAUUAUAAUGCUUUUGAGAUCUGUCAAUGUUUCUGUUAACACCAGAACACUCUGGGGUGUAUUUUCAAGCCAGGGUUUCCAGUCCUGCUAACAAGCAGUGGAGUUUGUGCACAUACCUCCAUGGGCUCACGUGGAAACGUACGUGAAGCAUCAGAAGAUUCCUGGAUGCGUGUUUAAGGCUUACUGCAUUCUCUAAAGACUGAAAGAGGAUUUUCCUAAUGCUGUAAGUUUUGAUCUUAUGGAAUGUAUGUACUGGGAGAAAUUACUCCUGGUGGCUGGAAUAAAUGCUGGAGUUGUUCAGCGCAGAGCUGUCAUGGUUCUGGUCUGCCUGGUGUGACAGUGGAAGAGCCUGGGCUAUUCUGGAGAGAACUCUGUUCAAUGUACUUAAGCAGGAGAAUGUCCCUGUGGUGUUAUUCAGAAGUUAUUCUAAGCAACCUUACCUCAGGAUCUUGUUUCUCAAAUCCAGACAAGACAGAACUGUGCAUGCGUGUGCGUAGAAUAUGAUGCUGGUGUUUGGUUUUCAUGAGAUUCACCACAUUAGUGCCUUCUUGCUCUGAAGUUGGCUCUUGGAAUGCAAUGAUUCAGUGUCUCGCUGGCAGUGUGACAAGUAGGACUUGGUUCCUGCAGGUCUGUUUCCUUGCCUGGCUUUAUUUCCACUGCUGGGUAACUGUCUCUGCAAGAGUUGCUUAACAAAAGCAAUGAAAUGCACAUUUUGCUGGAAAA
This is a long non-coding RNA of Lagopus leucura (white-tailed ptarmigan), 1226 nucleotides long. RefSeq lists it as uncharacterized. The record is from RefSeq and is a predicted model, not a curated record. Lineage: Eukaryota; Metazoa; Chordata; Aves; Galliformes; Phasianidae. The transcript has 2 exons.